Molecule: ribosomal RNA, 498 nt
Filed under: uncultured bacterium
Lineage: Bacteria
Description: partial 16S ribosomal RNA
Rfam family: Bacterial small subunit ribosomal RNA
Source: RNAcentral
AUUGAACGCUGGCGGCAUGCCUUACACAUGCAAGUCGAACGGUAACAGGUCUUCGGAUGCUGACGAGUGGCGAACGGGUGAGUAAUACAUCGGAACGUGCCUAGUAGUGGGGGAUAACUACUCGAAAGAGUGGCUAAUACCGCAUGAGAUCUACGGAUGAAAGCAGGGGAUCGCAAGACCUUGUGCUACUAGAGCGGCCGAUGGCAGAUUAGGUAGUUGGUGGGAUAAAAGCUUACCAAGCCGACGAUCUGUAGCUGGUCUGAGAGGACGAUCAGCCACACUGGGACUGAGACACGGCCCAGACUCCUACGGGAGGCAGCAGUGGGGAAUUUUGGACAAUGGGCGCAAGCCUGAUCCAGCCAUGCCGCGUGCGGGAAGAAGGCCUUCGGGUUGUAAACCGCUUUUGUCAGGGAAGAAAAGGGUGUUUCUAAUACAGACGCCUCAUGACGGUACCUGAAGAAUAAGCACCGGCUAACUACGUGCCAGCAGCCGCCGUAA